This 21-nucleotide non-coding RNA is filed under the name Caenorhabditis elegans. Lineage: Eukaryota; Metazoa; Nematoda; Chromadorea; Rhabditida; Rhabditidae. The record is from RNAcentral.
UUGACCGAAGAUUUUGAGAAC